This 1891-nucleotide long non-coding RNA is filed under the name Eucalyptus grandis. RNAcentral describes it as "long non-coding RNA (EGRA_LNC005587)". Lineage: Eukaryota; Viridiplantae; Streptophyta; Magnoliopsida; Myrtales; Myrtaceae. The record is from RNAcentral.
ACUUACCUUGGUAUCAGAUUCCAUCUGCAUAUUAAUACAGUUCAAUAGGUACGCAAAUAAUCACAUCACCGAUCGAAGCAUCGAUCAAAUCGACCUAGUCGAUUACAUUUCCACCGGACCAUUUCUAGGUCAUUCAUCCCACACCAAGCAACUUUCUUAAAUUUUAAUAGCUUUAUGGUCACACCCGACCCUUUCCAGUAGUGGCUUUAUGGUCUCACCCGACCCUUUCAAGAUCUAGUGACUUUGCGGUCCCACCCGACCUUUUUAAGAUCUAAUUUAUGAAUGAAUCUUAAGAUUACUCAUAAAUUACUUCAGCACUAAAUAAAGUUCAAAUAAAUAAACAGACUACACCACGACGAUCAGCACAAAAUUCCGGUCAUCGACCAUCUCGGUUGAAUUUCCGGAAAAAUAAAUAAUUAAAUAAUUAAUUUCGAAAAUUAAAUAAAUAAUUAUACAAAAAAUCGAAUUUAGGCCCGUAAUGCCGAAUUGGAUGCCGCGACGAGCCCUAAAAAUUACCGAGACUCGUUCCAUAAAUAACAUGGUAUGCUUACUUGUUAAUGUCUAUUUCUAACCACCUAAUAUGCAUCAUUAAAUCUCUAAUUUAAUUGAUUUAAACUAAUCUAACCACCUAAUUACAUUUAAUUAAAUCUAACCAACCCUAAAUAUAAUUAGCAAACUAAGAAAGUAUUAGUGAGUAAAACUCACUUGGUAAAAGCAAAGACCGAAUCACCGCAACAGCGUCGCGGGCUUUCGACAACACCGGCGGGCUUGGACCGGGCCUUAAGCUUAGGCCCAACAAAUCUCAGCCCAACUGAGAUUUGUUCUUACUUUUGGGCCAGACCCAAGUUGGAUUGGGCCUGCUGCGAAGAUGGGCUUCAAGUUAUGGGCUGGGCUGCAAUUGAUUUGCUGGAAUUGGGCUUGACCAAUUAAUUUACUUGGACUGGACUGGGCUGACUUGCGGCCCAAAUGGGCUGAACAAACUGCAACUGGAAGCGGGCUGUUCGGUGGGCUACAGCUUUGGACCGUUGGGCUCGUGAAUUUGCUGGCCCAACCGUGGGCUUCUGAACUGACGGCUUCAAUUAGGCCUGACUUGCACCGAAUUCCGCUGGGCUGAUGAUGCGUGUCGAUCCACGAGCAAAGAUGGGAGACAACGCGAACGCUGGUCAACGAAGGCUUCGUUCGGUGGGGAUUUGACCAAGAUGGGGGCGUGCUGGCGUGGACGAUGGAGGGAAAAGCAGCGUCGAAGAAGUUGUGCCGUUGAUCUUCAAGCGUUGCUGGUCUUCAAGCUUCGCUGGCGGACGUGUGGAGUGGAGCUGAGGGAAACGAUGGCAAGCUGGCAGCUGGGGUUUUGUUGGAUGCUGUUCGGUCAACAAAUCAAAGGGGCAAAUUGCUGAGUUGACCGGUGUGUUGGCAGCGUGAGGAAGCUCAGUGGACUCCGCGACGAAGACUGGUUUCUCUCGCUGAUCGGUGGCAGUGCACUGGCAGUCAACGAUCGAGAUUAAUCCUGCUGAAGAUUUCGCUAGAUUGAAAAUCCCGUAGACUGGUUUCUCGAUGGAUUUGCUGGCCGAAGAUGGGGAAGUGGAAACCGGCACAUGGACUGGAGGCUCGGUGGAUUGUGGCUUCGCAUGGGGCAGCUUCGGUAAGUCUUCAACGCUGCUGGACUAGACACGAAGCAGUGGAGCUGCACGCGGUCAACAAUCUUGCUGAGAUUGACCAAAAUCUCGGUGGAUUGGUCUUCAAUGCAGCUGGCGGACGAAGGAAAAUUUUCGAAGGAAGCAGCUUGGUCUUCUUCAGUUGCUGUUGGAGGUGUCGCACGAAGAAAAAAGAUGGGAAGGGAAGAGAAGCAGCUCACGGCAGCAAGAUGGAGAGGAUGAGGAAGAGGUGGGGGCCC